GAGGGUACAGCUUAGUGGUAGAGUGUGUGUCUAGCAUGUACAAGGUCCUGGGUCGAUCCCCAGUACCUCCG
This 71-nucleotide transfer RNA is filed under the name Camelus bactrianus (Bactrian camel). It matches the Rfam family "tRNA". From Rfam's summary of the family: Transfer RNA (tRNA) molecules are approximately 80 nucleotides in length. Their secondary structure includes four short double-helical elements and three loops (D, anti-codon, and T loops). RNAcentral also lists the same sequence under 2 other names. The record is from Rfam by way of RNAcentral. Lineage: Eukaryota; Metazoa; Chordata; Mammalia; Artiodactyla; Camelidae.